This 309-nucleotide unclassified non-coding RNA is filed under the name Hevea brasiliensis (rubber tree). Lineage: Eukaryota; Viridiplantae; Streptophyta; Magnoliopsida; Malpighiales; Euphorbiaceae. The record is from RNAcentral.
AGUUGAGUUGAGUUGAGUUGUAUUAAAUAAUGCGUCUAAACUAUUUGCAACAGAGAUUAGUUAUCAAUAUCACUGAUGGCUCGCUACAAUGAACUUAGCAUGAAACAGGCUACUGCUAUGCUUUGUAGAAAAAAACUAUAACAACUACAACCUUGCAUGAGAGGCAAUUUUAUGUUUUUCUCCAUGAAGAGAUUUACAAGUUAAAUGGAAUGCUAAGAGGUGUCAUUCGCUUUAACUGAUAUUAAUCUUUUGUUUGCCCAGUGGAAUUGACCGAUUUAAGGAACAAUUUGCACAUCUUGAGGAAGGAAA